Molecule: non-coding RNA, 3678 nt
Organism: Phalacrocorax carbo (great cormorant)
Lineage: Eukaryota; Metazoa; Chordata; Aves; Suliformes; Phalacrocoracidae
Source: RefSeq, a predicted model, not a curated record
GAAGCGUGGUGCGGGGUGGGGCCUGCCGAGCCCGGGAGGGUGGGGGGCGGCCGAGAUCCGGCCGCGCACCUGAGGUGAGGAGAGGUGAGGCGGGGGACCCGCGGCUGGCGGCCCCCAUCGAGGGGUGCGCGGCUGCGGGAGCGCGGCCCGGCCCGGUUCUGUCCCCGGAGGAGGCGGGCGCGGCGGGGCAGAGCUCUCCCGCCGGGGAAGCCGCUGCGGCCGGCCGGGAAGGAGGAAGGGAGCGGGGGCGAAGCGGCGGCGCGGUUGCGGGCGGUAGCGGCGUUCCCCCGCGCUCCCCGGGGAGGAAGAGGCGCGCAGGCCGCGGUGUGAGGCCGCGGCUGCAGCCGGAGGGGCGGGCGGCGGUGGGGCCGCGGUCCCCGGUCGCCGCUCCAGCCGCCCCGGCCCGGCCCGGCCCUGCCCCGGGGCUCGGUGGCGCCGGCGUCCCUCCCGGCAGGCCUCAAGCGCUGCCCGCGGCUGCUCGGCCUGGCCUGGCCUGGCGGCGGGGGCGGUUCUGCCCUCCCCGCCCGCCUGCCUGGGGUUGCAGGGCUCAGGCAGCUCUGCCUUCCUUCCUAAAGCGUUAGGGCAGUACCGGUUGUGUGGUGCGAGUUUGUGUUUCAAGACGCCUGUGGAGUCUAGUGUGAAGUUUUAUUUCCACUUUCUCUUUUUUGGUGUGGUUUUUGUUGUUUUUUAGGCAGCUGCUUUCAGUAUGAAAUGUCGAGGAUGCUGUGUGUUUUAGUAUUUGCAUGAUUAAUGAAACAGCUUGGCUGUCUCAAGGUAUAAGAGGCUCUAGCGAGGUUAGACUUGCAACACCGACUGAACUUGCAUAUCGAAUUUUUCUUUCUGUUUGUAAUCAACUUUUAUCCACCAGGCUCUUUAAACAGCAAUCUUCAGUUCUCAGGUCAAUAUGCAUUACGACGUUAGGAUAACUUUUCAAGGUAUUGCUUAAAAUGGAAUGUUUUUUACAGAAGUGGCUUGUAUCCUCGUUCUCUAAUUGAGCAGGAGGCAGAAACCCACGCAGGUAUUGUGCGCUUUUGUUUUCUAGUACCUGCCGACUCCCUUCUCAGCUUUUAAACCUGGAUUAUAUUAUAGAAGUCCCGGCUCUCUAGUCGCUUAAAAUAUUUAUUGGCUUGUUAAACUGAACCACAUCUGCUGCUGUGAAGCCAACAUUUGUUUUAGAAUUCCAUCACAGGACUGUACUACUCUUUAGCAGAAGGCAUUGUAAAGCUAACUUUACCAUAAUUUCUUAAGAAGAGGUCAUAAAAAGGCAGUGGAAACAGCAUAGCCCUAACCCAGAACAGGUAGCCAUAUUCCUUUAGAGCAUUAAAGUAUUUCUAAACACACUCAUUAACGGUAGUACUUGAAUAUUUUUUGUAUUAUCAGCUGUGAAAAAGGUUAGCUCAGACUUGCUAAAACUUAAUUGUCUGUCAGUCCAUCGGGAGGAACUAGUAUGGCAAGAUAACUUUGCGAUGUCUCAUAGUACGAGCCCAAAAGGACAUUCACUGAUACUUAGAAAGUGGGAGUUUUGAAAAAUGGUAGGUGGAAAUACUUCUUCAAACCAUGUAAUUAGAAUGAAACUAGCUGCCAGAGGAAAUCAUUCAGCAAGAUUCAAAGCAAGCAGGUAUUUGUAUGAAUACCAAAAUGGUCUGGUGCCUUUAUAACGAAAGCCAAAAAAACAUUUAGGAGAGAGAUUAAAGCACAUGAGUCAGGGUUCAAACUAAUCUUUAUGGGAAUGAGAACUACUUUUCUGUGUUACAGAGUAUUAAAAUGUGUCUUCCACAGUGAUCUUGUGCUGUCCUCGAGUUACCCGUUUCUGAGCCGUGGCAGGGAGAGGGUGGUGGACCAGCAGGCUUGUGAGCUUUGCCACAUGUCAGGUAAAACAGAACCGCGCAUUUGAGUUAAAUGAGAAGCAGCCUCCAGGCUGUGCCAGUCUGUGAUCCAAUCUGUCUGUCCAGGAACAGCUAUAGACUUGCUGUUCUCACUGCUGACACGCCAGCUGACAGCAGUCAGAAUUCAUACGGGACUGGAUCCCCCUCACAAACAGAGGCGAGCACAAAUUUAAUUGAACUUUUUUAUGUAUGUUUGAUGUAGCACAGUGCACCAUUGAACCACCUACAGUCACAAACCAGUCCUCCGGGGAUAGAAACACCCACCCACAAGUGGUGAACUCUGGUUUUAGGAAGUUAAACUGUAGAGUGUCCAUACUAGCGAUCCCAUGGUGGCUACGUGGGGAGGUCUUUAUAGGUCGAGGAAUUAGGGUUUCUAUUGGCAUGAAGUUCUUGCAUAAAUAUCAUUACCCUGUUUCUGGCUGGCUUGAAAUUUCCACUGCAUUCUCCUGAAUAGACAUAUAUGCCCCCCAUUGUUUUUGUUCUCUCUUUUUUUUUUUUUUAUUUUAUUUAAACCACUGCUGUACUAGAGAAAUACAGUCUCCUUAGUCCUGGAGUCAGCUAGAAAGCUUUAGCUGAACACUGUGCUGUUUCUCCAUAGUGAUAUAAAUCACCCAAUCUCACAUUUUCUAGUUUAUUGCUGCAGGAUUUUUGAUACUAUUAAAUAUUUUGGGUUUUCUCCUCACAGAAGGAUCCCAGGUUACUUAAAGUUCCGUAUAUAUCCUGGAAUAAGGAUUGCAAUAAGGACAGCUAGAUUUAUGGCAUGCUGAAAUUGUCUGUAAUAUGGAUAAAGCAAUAAGUUGUCCAAUACAGAUUUUUUUGCAGAGGCUGGUACUGAACAGCGAAAUGGAUUCUGUGAAGAACUCGGGAUCUCGGAAACCUUGCUUCAAGUAAAAUAGCAACAUUUCAGUCUACCUUUUCUCCAAUAUGCAAACAAAAUAGUGGUAUUAAAUAUAUUUGUAUAGAAGAUGACCUUUUAUACGCUCCAUUACACGUGUUUCUUUGCCUUGAGAAGACGUAAGAACAUUCUGAUGGCUGUCAAUCCGUUCUGUUGAUUCACCUUUUUAAGGAUACACAACCAACGUUGACAAUGCACGCCGUGUUUUGAGCAGGGUUAAUGAUGGACUGCUUGUACUGACAAUAUUGUUGUUCCUACCUGAGAAACACAGUUUUAGGGUCAUAAAAUGUCAUGAGUUCAAAGAAAAUUUGGACUUUUCUUGUGGCAUAUGGAAGUUGAAGAAAUGACGUUGGUUUUUUUUCAUGCUUUGUUGGGGUAUGUGCAAGUACGGAAAUUCCUCAGUUGCCGUAAGGUACUCGGGAAGGAGCGAACUUUUGGGGUGGAGGCAAGUUCUCCGCACACCACCCCUACGCACCACUCAUGUAUUUGUUCAGGCAAAUCCACGGGAGGUGGAAGUCAGCAGCAAAUGGUUGUGUGCACAGAAAAGGGCUAAGCAGUGGGUGUACCAUAAAGCAACAGAUAAAGACUGGCUCCUCUUCCCCUUUUGGUAUUGGUUUGGCCCCUGGCAGGUCAUGUACUCAUUUAGGCAGAGGGUCUCCUGCAUGUAUGAAUGUUAAACUAAAGCAGAAGUGCGCGAUGGUGUCUGUGAAGUCUAGUCAACCUUGUGUAUUUUCCAGGCGAAUCAUGCUGUGAUUCACCGAAAACAUGUAAUGUUCUAUUGCAAAAUACUUGCUUACAGGAGACCUUUUGUUCUGCAGGCUUUGGAUUUUUCACUGUUUACACUUUUGCCUAUAUGAAAAUGUAAAAUGAUAACAUUUAAUAAAAUACAUACACCAU